RNAcentral lists this ribosomal RNA (886 nucleotides) under uncultured eukaryote. RNAcentral describes it as "SSU rRNA". It matches the Rfam family "Eukaryotic small subunit ribosomal RNA", at positions 564 to 1470 of the family's 1831-position model. The record is from RNAcentral.
GUGCCAAGCAGCCGCGGUAAUUCCAGCUCCAAUAGCGUAUAUUAAAGUUGUUGCGGUUAAAAAGCUCGUAGUUGGAUCUCGGCGGGCAGGGGGUGGUUCGCUCUUCAGCGCUACUGCCCCGCUUUGCCCGUGUGAUUGGCGGAGGUUUCGGGGUGCUCUUCGUUGAGUGACUCGGAGCGCCGUCAGGUUUACUUUGAAAAAAUUAGAGUGCUCAAAGCAGGCUUUUCACGCUUGAAUAUUCGUGCAUGGAAUAAUGGAAUAGGAACUCGUUUCUAUUUUGUUGGUUUUCGGAAAUCGAGUUAAUGAUUAACAGGGACAAUUGGGGGCAUUAGUAUUCAGACGACAGAGGUGAAAUUCUUGGACCGUCUGAAGACUGACUACUGCGAAAGCAUUUGCCAAGAGUGUUUUCAUUAAUCAAGAACGAAAGUUAGAGGUUCGAAGGCGAUCAGAUACCGCCCUAGUUCUAACCAUAAACGAUGCCAGCUAGCGAUCUGCCGAGUUUUUUUUGUAGGCUCCGCAGGAAGCUUUCGGGAAACCAAAGCUUUUGGGUUCCGGGGGAAGUAUGGUUGCAAAGCUGAAACUUAAAGGAAUUGACGGAAGGGCACCACCAGGAGUGGAGCCUGCGGCUUAAUUUGACUCAACACGGGAAAUCUCACCAGGCCCGGACACUGGAAGGAUUGACAGAUUGAGAGCUCUUUCUCGAUUCGGUGGGUGGUGGUGCAUGGCCGUUCUUAGUUGGUGGAGUGAUUUGUCUGGUUAAUUCCGAUAACGAACGAGACUCUGUCCUGCUAAAUAGUUGGGUCGUCCUUCGUGCGAUCCAAGUUCUUCUUAGAGGGACUGGCUGCGUCUAGCAGCACGAGAUUGAGCAAUAACAGGUCUGUGAUGC